Triticum aestivum (bread wheat) is the source of this 3613-nucleotide long non-coding RNA. RefSeq lists it as uncharacterized. The transcript is spliced from 8 exons. The record is from RefSeq and is a predicted model, not a curated record. NCBI's taxonomy places the organism in Eukaryota, Viridiplantae, Streptophyta, Magnoliopsida, Poales, Poaceae.
UUCUUCGAGCACAAGGAAGAGAUGGGGUGCCCAAAGAAUGUCCCAGAUACGACCGCCCCGUUCCAACCCCCGCACGUGACCCUGCCUCCUCAUCGACUUCCCUCCUGGCCGUCGCCGCCUCUCCUCCUCUUCCUCCUCUCUCUCCCCUGCCGCCGCCGCUUCUCCUCCUCCCCCUCCCCCAUGCUAGCCCUCCACCUGCCAUCCACAGAGCCACAGGGUGGUCGAGUCAUCGGGGUGAGCAGCGGUGGCCAUCUGUGGUGUGUCGGGUGGAGGAGAUGAGGAGGGUGGGAAUGACGGCAGUGGGGGAAGGAGCAGCGAGGCCGGAGGAGCUCGCGCCGCCGCUGGUUGUGGAUGCGCUGCUGCAGCUCGUCUAGCGUCGACCUGGUCUUUUUCAUGUGAGGGCCUACAUAAGAAAAGCUCCCAUGGGAGCUUCUGCCCAUACUCCGAGUUGAAUUUACAGGUGAUGUAUCCAUGGAGACAAGAUGUUUGUAAAAUUGCCUGAGAGGGUUGUGUGGAUUUUACAAGUUGUUAUUGCUAUUACUUAUCUUGUAAAUUGUUUGUUAUUCCUUUCACCUAUUAUGUGGUUACUUUUGAGGUGUUUUUUGGUUAUGUCAUGACACAGGCUUAUCAAACGGCGGCGUUGCCUCUAGCAUCAGACACGGUGUGGCUGGUUGUUGUGUUUUACACCCACAGGAAGGCCCUUCGCUCAGCUGGAGUUUCCUUAGAAAAUGCGCCUGGCCGUGAGGGGUUGUGGAAGGGUGCCCUUGACGAGCAGGACAAUACCACGUCCCUUGCUCAUCGGUCUGACUGACAUGGCCAUCUUCAUAAAUGGGAUGGAGAGCUGUUGAGGGAGGCCCUGUCAUGGACUGGCCGAGACUGUCGAGCAUCGUGUUGAAAAUCCUCAGAGAGGUUGCGAUAUGCUUUGUCAACCAAUGGAUGCUGGCCGAGGUCGCCCAGGUCGAGAGCGCGCCCACCAGCCUGAAGCUCAUCCACAAGCCCUGAACUCAAGGUCAGCAACGGAGAUGGGUGUCCCUACCAGUGGCUCUUCAAGAGAGAGGAGCAAGAACAUGAUGGCGGCGGGGUGUUCGGUUUGUGGUCCACUUCGAUGCGGGAUGUGGAGGCGCGAUCCGACAAAGCCUCCCGAUGCUCCAACCACUCUUCCCAUCAACGCCAAGGAGCAGCAGCCUCCGCAGAUUCUAUGAUGACUGAUGCAAAGUCCGUGCUGUGCUCCUAUGAUCGAGGUAUAGAAGAAGCAGCAGAAAAUUGAAUACAUCAUUCUCUGCUGCAUUGAGGAUUGAUUUCAGUGCAGCCUUUCACUGAAAUCAUAUGAACAUGAUACUGUAGACUGCAGCCAUGAAUUAAUUCUCCUUCAUGAUGUCCACAUGACCUUUUGAGCAUUUGGAUUUGAUUUACGAUGCUUUUGUUCCUUUGCUUGAUGCCCCCCAUCAAUUGUAGGAUCUUCAGGAUAGGCCUUCCUAUCCAUCCUUAUCGGAUAAAUUAAAUAUAUCUCAUGUAGAUCUAUGUAUGAGAUGUUUUUUGUACAUCUGGUGUUCUUUACAUAUUAGUGUGUUGUAGCAGAUUUAGUGACAAAAAAGUCAUCCUGGAGCUUUGAUAUAAUUACAUUUGCUCAUUUUUUGUUAUGUGUUUUGUUUAGAGGAAUUGCUUCUUUACUUGACAGAUUAGGAGCUGGUGUUAGGUUCCACUGGAUCAAUUUUUAGCUCUUGUUUCUUAAGGUCUGCAGAGGUUAGAGGAGUAAUUAGUCUUCUAUGUUUAUCUAAUGAGUGUGUGUCUGGAUGCAUACAUAUAGUAGAGGAGCAAUUACCAUUUGGAUGUGCAUAAAUUAUUCUUCAUUUUUUUGCGUGUACAUGUGGAUGUGCAUAAACUGUUCUCUCUUUUCUUAACGAGUAUAUGUGAUACAUAGAAAAUGUAUAUGGUGGUUUCCAUUCUAGAUUAUCUGGCUGGUACAUGGAGCUUAUUUAAUUUUCCACUAUUAUGGCAUUAUUUGUACUGCUUGACAUAGCAUGCCCCCUUACUUCCUUGGUGACCUCCCACUACUUCAUCUACUGAAAUGAUUAGGCAGAUCACGUUUUUUCUAGCAUUAAACCUGCAAAGAAAAGAAAUCUUCGCCGAAGCAAUUAGUAUUCUUUGUUUUCCUAACAAGUGUAUGUGAACUCAUUCAGACAGUAGACGAAUAGUUACCAUUCUCUUUGUGUUUUAGUAAGUAUAUGUGGAUGCACAUCAAGUGUUCUCUGUUUUUAAUGGGUUAUAUGUUAAUGCAUAGAAAAUGUAGUACAUGGAGCAUAUUUAGUUUGUCUGAAUAGUAAUACUUAUUCACAAAUUUUGUUAGCUUGCUUCAAAAUUUAUUAAUCCAGUUAUGGUGUGGUUGCCUAUUACUCAAGAUGAUUUCAUAUUAGCUUCAGAGGACAUGUAUAUUGCGUAUCCUUUGCCUACUGAGCACACACAAAGAAAUGUUUCUAUCGGUAUCAUUAACUGAAACAUAUUCCAUUUUUGAUCAAUUGGUGGAUCUGACUAAUAUAGAUAUAUUGUAAGAGAUAUUAUUCACGUGCCAUUUUCUUAUUUCGAGUAAGCUUGAAACUGAUGGUCUCGGUUAGUUUGUGUAUUAACUUUCUUUAGAACCUAGAUCUAGAGAAACUAAGUAGAGGGUCGCCUUUUGUGCAGGAAUUUGCAGCAGGUCUGAUCCCUUGCGCGUGCUCCUCCGCUUGUCCUCACCCUCUCGACCCUCCCCUUGCUCAUCACCAUCCAUUUUAUUCAGAGUGUAGAUGGCGGGCAAAACACCUAAGCUCCAGAGGUUACUUGAAUGAUUCAUGGGAAUUUGAAUGUGAGGGGUCUCAAAGAAUUUUUAUAAAGAAAAAUCCAAAUAUCAACAUUUGCUAAUCUCGCUCGAUAGUUGAGGUCUUAUAGAGAACAUCAUAUGUAUAAUGAUGUUGAGAGUAACCUGCCAACAUCAUUUUCUCCAGAAGAUUGAGUAUAAUGAUGUUGAGAGCAACCUGCCAACAUCAUUUUCUCUAGAAGAUUGAGAACCGAUAGGAUUCUAUUUGUAUUUAUACUGACAUUCUCUCUUCUUCGACUAACUGAACAUUGAAUUACUGUGGUACAUGCAUCCUACUUCAUAUGAGCAGCGCUCAUGUUUCGAAAACAUAAACAGUGUGAGUUUACUAUUAAAGUGGAUGCCUUGUUUCUCCAGGAAUGAGCACAUGAGCUACUUUGACUAGGUGGCCACUUGAUUAGGUGUAUGUGUUAAUUUAAUGUUCUGUAACACGUUAGGCGUAGGUAGUAUUUUUGGACUGAGACUUGCUCCUGUUGUCCAUUUCAGAUAUUCAGUCUAAGAUCUAAAUUUCACCACUAUAUGUGUUUUGUUUACGUUUCCUGAUGUCUUUUAGAUGAACUGAAUCACUUGUGUUUAUGUGGAUACUAGCUACUUUUACUUCAGCACAUAAAGAACGAAAUCUGUAUGAGUAUUUUUUAUUUACCUUAAAGCAUUUCUACAUAAGCAAAACAUAUCAAGGCGCAGUAUGCUGGAAUAAAACCAUAUAUCCGGUUCAUGUUUACCCUUGUCUUUACACAUAUGAUUGGCACUAGCAAAUUCACACAU